Bos taurus (domestic cattle) is the source of this 677-nucleotide long non-coding RNA. The record is from Ensembl. Lineage: Eukaryota; Metazoa; Chordata; Mammalia; Artiodactyla; Bovidae.
AACAGGCAGUGGCUUACCUUGAUUUCGGGUGGUGAUUCCACCCAGCAGUUCCUUCCAGAAACCUUUACCCGUCAAGCGACUUGUACCAAUAUUUGGAGAGUAGACACGCAUGCCCUCGGGCUGUGUUCACAAAAGACUCUUGGUAUCCACUUUCUGAACGGCUCCUGUAACAAGUUACCCCAAAAUGGAUGGCCUGAAACCACGGGAACUUAGUCCCUCACAAUUCUGGAAACCAGAAAUCCAGAAUCAAGGUAAUGUGUGGGUGAGACAUUUUCCACGGGCAUCCUCAGCAUCAGAGAGAAGACCCAAAGCAGGUGUGGCCAGGCAAGAAGCUGGCUGUUCACACCUGCGUGAGGCUGGUCCCCAGGACACAGGCUGGAACCAGAGUUCCACCUCAGAUCAUCAGGCAUCAGACCCUGGAGGUUGGGGACCCCUGAUUUACUGGAUGCUGGAAGACAGAAGGACCAUGGUGGGAGCCUGGGGUCGGGGAAGGCACAUGCCUUAUGCUGAUCGUCUUCUCAGAAGGACACACGAGGAAGCCAGCUGCAGGCGCCGACCCAAGAGCUCGCAUGGACCCCAGGGUCUGGGUGGCUGCUUGGCGGGGGGGCCGACAUGGAGGGGUUUGGAGGAUGUGUACAGUGGUGGGGCACGCAGAUGGAAACAUGAGUUUCCUAGGG